This 72-nucleotide transfer RNA is filed under the name Spinacia oleracea (spinach). It matches the Rfam family "tRNA". From Rfam's summary of the family: Transfer RNA (tRNA) molecules are approximately 80 nucleotides in length. Their secondary structure includes four short double-helical elements and three loops (D, anti-codon, and T loops). The record is from Rfam by way of RNAcentral. Lineage: Eukaryota; Viridiplantae; Streptophyta; Magnoliopsida; Caryophyllales; Amaranthaceae.
AGUCUAUUAGCUCAAUUGGUAGCGCUUUGUGCAUUUUGCACAAUGAUGUAGGUUCGAAUCCUACAUAGGCUA